AAAAAAAAAAAAGAAAAAAAAACAGCAAGCCAUAUUUUGUUAUAUUUCACUGCAUUCUUAAGCCUUACUGUUCCAUAUUUCGAGAUGAGGAUAUUUAUGUUUUUCUGUGUGCUUGAAUGAGCCACUCUCUAUUACUUAGGUUGCAACAAUGUGAAAGGUAAAUCAUCGUAUCAUGUACCUAGUUGUGUGAGUUCCUUGUUUCUAAUUUACAUGAAUUUAUCAAUAUUUUAUGUCAGUGUGCUUUUGUACUAGAUUACUAUCUUGUGAUGCCUGAGAACAAUAGCUAUUGCCUUAAUUGACUGUUCUUUUUAAUUCUUAAGUUCAUUGAUUUAUGCAAUGGUUUGUGGUUUCCACCCAUUAGGUGCAAGUUUAAGCCUCAAGAGAAGCUACUUUAUAUAAAAUUGCAGAAGGGUAGAUUUGUCUUUUGGCUCUUGUACAUGUGAGUAACUCUUGGUGGGAUAAUUAAAUGAUAAAUUACCUUUUUUUUGCUCUCUUGUUUCUCUCUCUCUCUUAUGUGUUGAGGGGUAAAUAAAACUCCAUGCAACUAGCUUGUUUUGCACUUAAAAUUGAAAAAGCCAGCUAUUGAUUUGUAUAAUUGCUUGUUAAGUGCAAGUAAGAUGAUGUAUAUACUAUAUAGUUCUUCAUUGAAAGCUGUACCAAUAGCCAUAAUGAGUGAUGUAGUUCUUUCUAUAUCUUGAGCUAUUUCUAUUUAUGGAGUUUUAGAGGAAACACAAAGAAAUACUGGUUUUGACACCUAGAUUAAUGCUGCGAGGAUAUAAUGUACACCUUUUAUGGUGUAUUCUAAAUAUUUUCUUUUAUAAGUAAAAAAAACCCCAAACUAACUAAUUAAUUCCCAGACUUGAAAAUUGAAAAUACAAGAAUCAUUUCAAAUGUUUUUGUAAAAUUUCAAUAUGAUAUACUGAAUGACUUAAGGGAGAGAUUUUUCUUUUUU
Molecule: unclassified non-coding RNA, 952 nt
Filed under: Hevea brasiliensis (rubber tree)
Lineage: Eukaryota; Viridiplantae; Streptophyta; Magnoliopsida; Malpighiales; Euphorbiaceae
Source: RNAcentral